RNAcentral lists this ribosomal RNA (490 nucleotides) under uncultured bacterium. RNAcentral's name for it is "partial 16S ribosomal RNA". It matches the Rfam family "Bacterial small subunit ribosomal RNA", at positions 29 to 507 of the family's 1533-position model. The record is from RNAcentral.
AGUGAACGCUGGCGGUAGGCCUAACACGCACGUCGAACGGCAGCACAGUAAGAGCUUGCUCUUACGGGUGGCGAGUGGCGGACGGGUGAGGAAUACAUCGGAAUCUACUUUUUCGUGGGGGAUAACGUAGGGAAACUUACGCUAAUACCGCAUACGACCUACGGGUGAAAGCAGGGGAUCUUCGGACCUUGCGCGAUUGAAUGAGCCGAUGUCGGAUUAGCUAGUUGGCGGGGUAAAGGCCCACCAAGGCGACGAUCCGUAGCUGGUCUGAGAGGAUGAUCAGCCACACUGGAACUGAGACACGGUCCAGACUCCUACGGGAGGCAGCAGUGGGGAAUAUUGGACAAUGGGCGCAAGCCUGAUCCAGCCAUACCGCGUGGGUGAAGAAGGCCUUCGGGUUGUAAAGCCCUUUUGUUGGGAAAGAAAAGCAGCAGGUUAAUACCCCGCUGUUCUGACGGUACCCAAAGAAUAAGCACCGGCUAACUUCGUG